GACGAACGCUGGCGGCGUGCUUAACACAUGCAAGUCGAACGGAGCGAAUGAAAGCUUGCUUUUAUGAGCUUAGUGGCAAACGGGUGAGUAACACGUAGACAACCUGCCGAUCAGAUGGGGACAACAUUCCGAAAGGAAUGCUAAUACCGAAUGAAGUGUGGGGGAGGCAUCUUCCCUACAUGAAAGAUGGCCUCUAUUUAUAAGCUAUCACUGAUCGAUGGGUCUGCGUCUGAUUAGCUAGUAGGUAAGGUAACGGCUUACCUAGGCGACGAUCAGUAGCCGGUCUGAGAGGAUGAACGGCCACAUUGGGACUGAGACACGGCCCAGACUCCUACGGGAGGCAGCAGUGGGGAAUCUUCCGCAAUGGGCGCAAGCCUGACGGAGCAACGCCGCGUGAGUGAAGAAGGUCUUCGGAUCGUAAAGCUCUGUUGAAGGGGACGAACAUACAUAAGUGAAUAAGCUUA
RNAcentral lists this ribosomal RNA (464 nucleotides) under Selenomonas sp. oral taxon H23. RNAcentral describes it as "bacterial SSU rRNA". It matches the Rfam family "Bacterial small subunit ribosomal RNA", at positions 28 to 470 of the family's 1533-position model. Lineage: Bacteria; Bacillati; Bacillota; Negativicutes; Selenomonadales; Selenomonadaceae. The record is from RNAcentral.